RNAcentral lists this ribosomal RNA (1047 nucleotides) under Sylvilagus bachmani (brush rabbit). Its description in RNAcentral is "partial 16S ribosomal RNA". It matches the Rfam family "Bacterial large subunit ribosomal RNA", at positions 856 to 2593 of the family's 2925-position model. The record is from RNAcentral. Lineage: Eukaryota; Metazoa; Chordata; Mammalia; Lagomorpha; Leporidae.
GUCCAGAAUAGAAUUUUAGUUCAACUUUAAAAUUUUCCUAAAGGACAUCUAACCCUAAUGAAAAUUUAAAUGUUACUCCAAAGAGGGACAGCUCUUUGGAAAAAGGAUACAGCCUUUUAUAGAGAGUAAGUCAUUUUUAAUCCAUAGUUGGCUUAAAAGCAGCCAUCAAUUAAGAAAGCGUUAAAGCUCAACAAUCAAAAGCAACUCAAUCAAAACAUCUAAUAAACGAACUCCUAUAAACUUUGACUGGACCAAUCUAUAAAAUUAUAGAAGAAAUAAUGCUAAUAUAAGUAACAAGAACAACGUUCUCCUUGCACAAGUUUAUAUCAGAUCGGAUGCCCACUGAUAGUUAACAACCAUAAUAGUAAUAUUCCACAAAUUAAUAUUCUAUUAACUUUUAUUGUUAAUCCAACACAGGAGUGCAGCAUAGGAAAGAUUAAAAGAAGGAAAAGGAACUCGGCAAACUCUAACCCCGCCUGUUUACCAAAAACAUCACCUCUAGCAUUACUAGUAUUAGAGGCACUGCCUGCCCAGUGACAUACGUUUAACGGCCGCGGUAUCCUGACCGUGCAAAGGUAGCAUAAUCACUUGUUCCUUAAUUAGGGACUAGUAUGAAUGGCAACACGAGGGUUAAACUGUCUCUUUCUUCUUAUCAGUGAAAUUGACCUCCCCGUGAAGAGGCGGGGAUAUAACAAUAAGACGAGAAGACCCUAUGGAGCUUAAAUUAUUUAACCUAAUAUUUCCUCAAUACUACUCUAAAUUAGAGCCUAACAUAAAGAAAUUCCCUAGGUUAAGAAUUUUGGUUGGGGUGACCUCGGAGCACAAAUUAACCUCCGAAUGAUUUUAGACUAGACUCCACAAGUCAAAGCAAAUAUAAUCAUAAAUUGACCCAAACUUUUUUGAUCAACGGAACAAGUUACCCUAGGGAUAACAGCGCAAUCCUAUUCUAGAGUCCCCAUCGACAAUAGGGUUUACGACCUCGAUGUUGGAUCAGGACAUCCCAAUGGUGCAACCGCUAUUAAAGGUUCGUUUGUUCAACGAUUAAAG